CUGCAUGGCUGUCGUCAGCUCGUGUCGUGAGAUGUUGGGUUAAGUCCCGCAACGAGCGCAACCCUUGUCAUUAGUUGCCAGCAUUGAGUUGGGCACUCUAAUGAGACUGCCGGUGACAAGCCGGAGGAAGGUGGGGAUGACGUCAAGUCCUCAUGGCCCUUAUAGGUGGGGCUACACACGUCAUACAAUGGCUGGUACAGAGGGAAGCGAACCCGCGAGGGGGAGCCAAUCCCAAAAAGCCAGUCGUAGUCCGGAUCGCAGUCUGCAACUCGACUGCGUGAAGUCGGAAUCGCUAGUAAUCGCGGAUCAGAAUGUCGCGGUGAAUACGUUCCCGGGUCUUGUACACACCGCCCGUCACACCAUGGGAGCGGGUUCUGCCAGAAGUAGUUAGCCUAACCGCAAGG
This 404-nucleotide ribosomal RNA is filed under the name uncultured beta proteobacterium. RNAcentral's name for it is "bacterial SSU rRNA". It matches the Rfam family "Bacterial small subunit ribosomal RNA", at positions 1041 to 1446 of the family's 1533-position model. The record is from RNAcentral. Lineage: Bacteria; Pseudomonadati; Pseudomonadota; Betaproteobacteria.